GAUAGCCCAAUUGGCAUGGUCUAAAGUGGGAUUGGUACAGUUUGGGUUUUGACCAAUAUUGUCAAAAAAUUGAUUGUCUAUUUGGACAAGCCCAUUUGAACAUUGAUAGCUAAUUGACAUCCCUACAAAUAGGUCAAGGAUUCGCCCAAACAACGACCCAAUAAAUUGCAGUUCUCCAGAACACAAUGCAAGAUAUAUUUUCAAAGAUCUGAGAUUUUUUUUUUUUUGGUAGGGUUUCAAAGAUCUGAGAUAUAGAACGUGUCCUCGCUGCAACACAGUUUCAAUUUUAUUUUACUUUACGUAAGAGAUUUAUCGUUCUUUCAUCUAAAUUUAAGACAAAAUUAUAUGAC
RNAcentral lists this long non-coding RNA (350 nucleotides) under Brassica rapa (field mustard). RNAcentral describes it as "long non-coding RNA (BRAP_LNC007805)". The record is from RNAcentral. Lineage: Eukaryota; Viridiplantae; Streptophyta; Magnoliopsida; Brassicales; Brassicaceae.